This is a long non-coding RNA of Hemicordylus capensis (graceful crag lizard), 435 nucleotides long. RefSeq lists it as uncharacterized. The transcript is spliced from 5 exons. Lineage: Eukaryota; Metazoa; Chordata; Lepidosauria; Squamata; Cordylidae. The record is from RefSeq and is a predicted model, not a curated record.
GGAUGAUUGGCUCCUGAUUCAGCAUCACCCAGGUCAGGAAGUAAGAAAGAGUGCCUUUGGUUUUUGGACUUUAAAAGGCAGGCAGAAAACUCAGAAGGAUUAUUGAGUCCCUGGUGGGCUGUAUUUGCUUUGCAAUUUCUUGCAAGAUCCUGCCAGUUCCAUUUUGAUACAUCCUUAUGAGCCAUUUUGCUUAUAAAGAGUGCCUGCAAAACUGGAAGGAGCAUUCUCCAUCUGCUCUAAUCCCUCUUCCUCUGCACCAGUGGGUUGGCUCUAGAACUCAGUGACAAUUAACAGAAGCAUUAGCUUCAUGAAGUAAAAUGCAAGGUGGUUUACAAACAUUUAAAACAAUAUAAGAGAUGUGGGAGGCCGCAGCUGCUGGAAACUCCUUCCUGCCCCUCAGCCACAGGAGCACCCGAGGCCAUCGAAGCUUUCAAC